This 118-nucleotide non-coding RNA is filed under the name Bigelowiella natans. Lineage: Eukaryota; Cercozoa; Chlorarachniophyceae. The record is from RNAcentral.
GAGGAAAUAGAUUCUUCGGAGCGGAUGAGCAGGAUGAGGUUAGCCGGAGAGAGACGGCUUUGCUGCAGAAACGAGUCCGCAACGCUCCGAAGCUAGAUACUCAUGACCGCCUCUUUGG